This 697-nucleotide ribosomal RNA is filed under the name uncultured fungus. RNAcentral describes it as "SSU rRNA". It matches the Rfam family "Eukaryotic small subunit ribosomal RNA", at positions 351 to 1057 of the family's 1831-position model. The record is from RNAcentral. Lineage: Eukaryota; Fungi.
GGUAACGGGUAACGGGGUGUUAGGGCACGACACCGGAGAGGGAGCCUGAGAAACGGCUACCACAUCCAAGGAUGGCAGCAGGCGCGCAAAUUACCCAAUCCCGACACGGGGAGGUAGUGACAAUAAAUAACAAUACGGGGUUCUUUAGGAUAAUUGGAAUGAGUACAAUUUAAAUCUCUUAACGAGGAACAAUUGGAGGGCAAGUCUGGUGCCAGCAGCCGCGGUAAUUCCAGCUCCAAUAGCGUAUAUUAAAGUUGUUGCAGUUAAAAAGCUCGUAGUUGAAUUUCGGGGUUAGUAGGUUGGUCAUGCCUCUGGUAUGUACUGGUCUCACUGAUUCCUCCUUCCUUAUGAACCGUAAUGCCAUUAAUUUGGUGUUGCGGGGAAUUUGGACUGUUACUUUGAAAAAAUUAGAGUGUUUAAAGCAAGCUAACGCUUGAAUACAUUAGCAUGGAAUAAUGAAAUAGGACGUUCGAUCUUAUUUUGUUGGUUUCUAGGAUUGACGUAAUGAUUAAUAGGGAUAGUUGGGGGCAUUAGUAUUCAAUUGUCAGAGGUGAAAUUCUUGGAUUUAUUGAAGACUAACUACUGCGAAAGCAUUUGCCAAGGAUGUUUUCAUUAAUCAAGAACGAAAGUUAGGGGAUCGAAGACGAUCAGAUACCGUCGUAGUCUUAACCAUAAACUAUGCCGACUAGGGAUCGGA